This is a long non-coding RNA of Gasterosteus aculeatus aculeatus (three-spined stickleback), 1660 nucleotides long. RefSeq lists it as uncharacterized. NCBI's taxonomy places the organism in Eukaryota, Metazoa, Chordata, Actinopteri, Perciformes, Gasterosteidae. The record is from RefSeq and is a predicted model, not a curated record.
AAAUUGCCCUUUUUGUUAUUGUCUGAUUGUUGGCUCCACCCCCUCGGUGGUGGGAGGUUGUGUUUCAAUUAGGCCGCAAGGUCAAUAUAAUCAGGUGGAUUACCUGACACAGGUGUUUGUGUUGGUGGGGAGCUAAAUAGUUUUUUGGCCGUGAGCGUGGGAGGAAGGUGAACGUGACAGGGCGAGCAUGGAAGAGACAUGUAUUAAGAUCAUUUGAUGGUGUCACUAACUAACAAAAUAAAGGACAAUUGGAGAUGUCUCAAGGAGUACGUAACCGCCUCAAAACAAGCUCAUAUAAGCAUGAUUUCUCUCAGAUUGGCACCAAGCAUCCAGGAUAUGAAUAAAAAAUUACCCUUUGCGUUUUGAAAAAAAUUCUAACUUAUAAAUAUAGUUUAUUUUUGAGCGUGAGACAUGCAUCUGCCAUUCUUUGUGCACCACAAGCAAUUUCAGUGCUUUCCGUGCAGGUUUUAUUGGUUGGGGUUCAAGCCAAUCUUCACACCCCAGCGUUACUUUAGGCUGUACCCAUUUCGGCUUCUGAGCGGCUAAGGAAGCUGUCAAUCAUUUCCGUGUGGGAUUAGUUGGAUCCAAUAGGGAGCCAUAUGUUUGGCAACUCUGGUUAUUGCCACAAUAGAGGCAGCCCUUCCUGUCUGGAUGAUGAAGACCAUGUGUGCAAGCAAAUGGCAGCUAGCUGGCUAUGUGCUUGUGUUGGAAUGAUCCUGGCAGGCAUAGCUACCAUUUCUUUUGGAUUUUCCACGAACAUCUAUCAUGUGCUUGUUCUGAAUGCGAGUGUCGGCUUUUUCUGUUGGUGUGGUGGACUCUUCAAUAAUGCCUCUUAUGGGUAACUUGGUAGACCCGAGAUAUGUGCCGGCAUAUUCUACAGUUUAUGCGAUUGCCGAUGUCGCUAUCUGCAUCGGAUUCUCCGUGGUCAAUUUCAAAAGAAAAUGAAAACUGAUCAGCCUGAGAACAUGGAAUGACUCUGUAUGCAGAAAUUAAAGCAUUGUAUUGGUUUGGAGUAGCCGAACAUUCCCAGCUUCAUUUCCGGUUCUCUUCUGUGACGACCCUCUGGGCCGCUGGCUGGUGUCCCUGCAUGUGGUACCUUGAUUGUAACCAGUGAACGGAAGAAACCAUAGAUUGUUUCACAGCGGAGGGACAAAGAGACAUUAUGACUCAUGUAGUUGUUUUUAGUGCAAAUUUUAUUUUUUCCCCAAAGGUGUAUUUUGGCCGGUGGACGUUUGCAUGUCUGGGUAGGUGGAGUCGGGAUGAGUUGAAACACCAGAACCCGCCAACGCCAAGGCCAACAUCACUCAUCUGGAAACAGAUGUUCUCCAAACAUACAUGUUCAUAUGCUUUGCUAGCCUUCUACAGAGGACCCCGAUGCCAUUGUUCCUAGAAUGUAACAAUUGAUUUCUUAUCAUUAUUUCUGUAACUGAAUGACUUUCAAAUAAUAAAAUAAUAUAUUAAAGCUAGGUCCAACAGGCAAAAAUAACACAACGUUUAUUUAAAGGCCUCGGAUUCAUUAGACACAUGUUUAUAGCGUGUGGUUUUUAGAUUAGAGAUUAGAUUCAACUUUAUUGUCAUUGUACAGAGAAAGUACUGAGGCAGCGAAAUGCAGUUUAGCAUCCAACCAGAAGUGCAAAAUAGCAAACAGAAUAUGUGCAUA